UUGAUCCUGGCUCAGGACGAACGCUGGCGGCGUGGAUUAGGCAUGCAAGUCGAACGAGAAAGUUUUCCUUCGGGAGAGCGAGUACAGUGGCGGACUGGUGAGUAACGCGUAGGUAAUCUACCUUCAAGUGGGGGAUAGCCCUCGGAAACGGGGAUUAAUACCGCAUGUGUUCCUUCGGGAAUAAAGGUGGCCUCUGAUUAAGCUGUCGCUUGAAGAUGAGCCUGCGUCCUAUUAGCUAGUUGGUGUGGUAAUGGCAUACCAAGGCGAUGAUAGGUAGGCGGCCUUAACGGGUGGUCGCCCACACUGGGAUUGAGAUACGGCCCAGACUCCUACGGGAGGCAGCAGUCGAGAAUAGUCUACAAUGGACGAAAGUCUGAUAGUGCGACGCCGCGUGAACGAAGAAUCCCUUCGGGGUGUAAAGUUCUUUUAUAUGUGAGCAAUGGUUUAUAUGUGAACAGCAUAUAGGCAGAGAUAUUAGCAUAUGAAUAAGCAACGGCUAACUCCGUGCCAGCAGCCGCGGUAACACGGGGGUUGCAAGCGUUGUCCGGAAUUACUAGGCGUAAAGGGCAGGUAGGCGGAACUAUAAGUUUGAUGUUAAAGGCAGCGGCUCACCCGCUGUACGGCAUUAGAUACUGUAGAUCUGGAAUACGGUUGGGGAAGACAGAAUUCCUGGUGUAGCGGUGGA
Molecule: ribosomal RNA, 685 nt
Filed under: uncultured bacterium
Lineage: Bacteria
Description: bacterial SSU rRNA
Rfam family: Bacterial small subunit ribosomal RNA
Source: RNAcentral